RNAcentral lists this unclassified non-coding RNA (327 nucleotides) under soil metagenome. RNAcentral describes it as "partial contains 5.8S ribosomal RNA, internal transcribed spacer 2, and large subunit ribosomal RNA". The stretch from base 1 to 120 matches the Rfam family "5.8S ribosomal RNA", at positions 35 to 154 of the family's 154-position model. The record is from RNAcentral.
GAUGAAGAACGUAGCGAAAUGCGAUAAGUAAUGUGAAUUGCAGAAUUCAGUGAAUCAUCGAAUCUUUGAACGCACAUUGCGCCCACUAGUAUUCUGGUGGGCAUGCCUGUUCGAGCGUCAUUUCAACCCUCAAGCCUGGCUUGGUGUUGGGGCUCUGCGUCUGCAGUCCCUUAAAUCCAGUGGCGGACACGCUAGGUCUCCGAGCGCAGUAGUUUCUCCUCGCUCAGGGCGUCCGGCGUGGGCUUGCCUCGCACCCAUCUUUUACAAGGUUGACCUCGGAUCAGGUAGGGAUACCCGCUGAACUUAAGCAUAUCAAUAAGCGGAGGA